CGGGGCGUAGCGCAGCCUGGUAGCGCACUUGCCUGGGGGGCAAGGGGUCGCGAGUUCAAAUCUCGCCGUCCCGACCA
Molecule: transfer RNA, 77 nt
Filed under: Lysobacterales bacterium CG_4_9_14_3_um_filter_62_6
Lineage: Bacteria; Pseudomonadati; Pseudomonadota; Gammaproteobacteria; Lysobacterales
Also listed under: 3 other names
Description: Xanthomonadales bacterium CG_4_9_14_3_um_filter_62_6 tRNA-Pro
Rfam family: tRNA
About the family: Transfer RNA (tRNA) molecules are approximately 80 nucleotides in length. Their secondary structure includes four short double-helical elements and three loops (D, anti-codon, and T loops). Further hydrogen bonds mediate the characteristic L-shaped molecular structure. tRNAs have two regions of fundamental functional importance: the anti-codon, which is responsible for specific mRNA codon recognition, and the 3' end, to which the tRNAs corresponding amino acid is attached (by aminoacyl-tRNA synthetases). tRNAs cope with the degeneracy of the genetic code in two manners: having more than one tRNA (with a specific anti-codon) for a particular amino acid; and 'wobble' base-pairing, i.e. permitting non-standard base-pairing at the 3rd anti-codon position.
Source: RNAcentral